This 253-nucleotide ribosomal RNA is filed under the name uncultured bacterium. RNAcentral describes it as "partial 16S ribosomal RNA". It matches the Rfam family "Bacterial small subunit ribosomal RNA", at positions 524 to 776 of the family's 1533-position model. The record is from RNAcentral.
UACAGAGGUCCCAAGCGUUGUUCGGAUUCAUUGGGCGUAAAGGGUGCGUAGGCGGUCGUGCAAGUCGGAUGUGAAAUCUCAGGGCUCAACCCUGAAACUGCAUUCGAUACUGCGCGGCUAGAGUGCUGGAGGGGAGACUGGAAUUUACGGUGUAGCAGUGAAAUGCGUAGAUAUCGUAAGGAAGACCAGUGGCGAAGGCGGCUACCUGGACAAUUGCUGACGCUCAGGCACGAAAGCGUGGGGAGCAAAAGGG